This 416-nucleotide ribosomal RNA is filed under the name Clostridium botulinum D str. 16868. Its description in RNAcentral is "bacterial SSU rRNA". It matches the Rfam family "Bacterial small subunit ribosomal RNA", at positions 1119 to 1533 of the family's 1533-position model. Lineage: Bacteria; Bacillati; Bacillota; Clostridia; Eubacteriales; Clostridiaceae. The record is from RNAcentral.
UAUUAAGUUAAGCACUCUAACGAGACUGCCGCGGUUAACGUGGAGGAAGGUGGGGAUGACGUCAAAUCAUCAUGCCCCUUAUGUCUAGGGCUACACACGUGCUACAAUGGCUGGUACAACGAGCAGCGAACCCGCGAGGGGGAGCAAAACUUGAAAGCUAGUCCCAGUUCGGAUUGUAGGCUGAAACUCGCCUACAUGAAGUUGGAGUUGCUAGUAAUCGCGAAUCAGCAUGUCGCGGUGAAUACGUUCCCGGGUCUUGUACACACCGCCCGUCACACCAUGAGAGCCGGUAACACCCGAAGCCCGUGAGGUAACCGUAAGGAGCCAGCGGUCGAAGGUGGGAUUGGUGAUUGGGGUGAAGUCGUAACAAGGUAGCCGUAGGAGAACCUGCGGCUGGAUCACCUCCUUUCUAGGGA